This 626-nucleotide long non-coding RNA is filed under the name Oryza brachyantha (malo sina). RNAcentral describes it as "long non-coding RNA (OBRA_LNC003407)". Lineage: Eukaryota; Viridiplantae; Streptophyta; Magnoliopsida; Poales; Poaceae. The record is from RNAcentral.
UACAUAUGAAAUCUAUUCCAAAUUAUUUAUCCAAAUACUAGUCUCUAUGAGUAAGGGGGAGUUUUUUCCAAAGUGGUCAUUUCUAAAGUUGUUGCAUUGUGCUUCCAUAAAAAAAUGUUACUUGCAUUGUAAGUGUUUGUCCCUAUUUAUCUUGUGAAAGAUUUCCUAUUCUUUUGUUGUUUUUUUGGUGAUUAAUGCCAAAAGGGGGGGAAUAUGUGAGGAUCCCACAUUUGAUCAAAAGAGGUAGAAUACUUGUGGAUACCAAAUAUGAUCAGUUCAAUAAAAAAGUGGAAAUAUUCUAGGAUCCUACACCAUUUGCAAUAGCAUAUCAUUGUCAUGUAAUGCAAUAUAUUUUCACAUUGGCAUGAAUGGAUAUAAAUCACAUCUCAAAUUAUCAUAUCAUGUUGAUUUGUAUCAUCUAUCAUCGAUAUUUUCAUUUAUAUCCAAAUUCGGUUCCUAAAAAUGAAUUUGUCAUCAAUCGCCAAAAAGGAGGAGAUUGUAAGUUCAAGUGCCAUUAAGUUGGUUUUGGUGAUUAAUGACAAGUCUAAUUACUUAAGACUAAUGUUUUUAUGAGCUUAUCUUUGACUAGUCAUUUGGAUAUGGAAAUGAAAAUAGUGAGAGGUAUG